UUCACCAGUAAUUUUGAGCUGCUGAUAGAGGCUAUAAAGAACUGACAAAUAUGGGUCUGUCUCCCUCUACUGGGCCCAAAUUCAGACCAGGAUCUGAAAUGUGAGAAAGCCUAACUGUGAAUAACAUGACAAAUUCUUGGUAUGCCAAAGCACCAGAUAGAAAUUAUUGAACCUCUGAGUUAAAAAACUGACUUAGACAAGACUGCACCACACUGGUUCAUAAGCAACAAGUGUGAAGCAAUAUGGGAAUCUGCACACUGAAACUGCUAUUGCCACAAACUGGACCAGUUCUGUUUCAUCUGGAAAGAAUCCAGUUCAUGUGCUCAUUCCGCUCCACAACACAAGUCAAAGCCAAGUCAGCGAGGGCAAACCCAGGGAUUUGCUUCAGAAGCCUUCCUCUAAUCCAGACUAAUGUGCUCCUAGAGAGGUGUCUGUAGAAAAUACUCACAUAUGAACAUGCUCUGGACAAAGCUUUAUUCAGUCACAGGCAAAACAGAGAGGUGAAUGUGGAGGAUGAAUCUGGUGAAGU
Long non-coding RNA from Passer domesticus (house sparrow), 529 nucleotides. RefSeq lists it as uncharacterized. NCBI's taxonomy places the organism in Eukaryota, Metazoa, Chordata, Aves, Passeriformes, Passeridae. The transcript has 4 exons. The record is from RefSeq and is a predicted model, not a curated record.